UCCCUGGGGGUCCAGAGGCUAAUACGCCACACUCCCAAUGCAGGGGGCCCAGGUUCGAUCCCUGGUCAGGGAA
Molecule: transfer RNA, 73 nt
Filed under: Bos taurus (domestic cattle)
Lineage: Eukaryota; Metazoa; Chordata; Mammalia; Artiodactyla; Bovidae
Also listed under: 5 other names
Rfam family: tRNA
About the family: Transfer RNA (tRNA) molecules are approximately 80 nucleotides in length. Their secondary structure includes four short double-helical elements and three loops (D, anti-codon, and T loops).
Source: Rfam by way of RNAcentral